GGAGCAGACUUGUUCUGUGACUGCGUACCUUUUGUAUAAUGGGUCAGCGACUUACUUCUCAGUAGCAAGGUUAACCAUUAGGGGAGCCGUAGGGAAACCGAGUCUUAAAUGGGCGAUUAGUUGCUGGGAGUAGACCCGAAACCGGGUGAUCUAUCCAUGGCCAGGGUGAAGGUUAGGUAAAACUAACUGGAGGCCCGAACCCACUUAUGUUGAAAAAUGAGGGGAUGAGCUGUGGAUAGGGGUGAAAGGCCAAACAAACCCGGAGAUAGCUGGUUCUCUCCGAAAUCUAUUUAGGUAGAGCGUCAUGUAUUACUUCUGGGGGUAGAGCACUGUUAUGGCUAGCGGGUCGUCAAGACUUAGCAAACCAUUGCAAACUCCGAAUACCAGAAAGUAUGAGCAUGGCAGACACACUGCGGGUGCUAACGUCCGUAGUGGAAAGGGAAACAACCCAGACCGUCAGCUAAGGUCCCAAAAUUAUAGUUAAGUGGGAAACGAUGUGAAAAGGCCCAGACAGCCAGGAGGUUGGCUUAGAAGCAGCCAUUCCUUUAAAGAGUGCGUAAUAGCUCACUGGUCGAGUCGGUUUGCGCGGAAGAUUUAACGGGGCUAAACUAUAUACCGAAGCUGCGGAUCGCAAUUUAUUGCGAUGGUAGGAGAGCGUUCUGUAAGCCGUUGAAGGUGAACUGAGAGGUUUGCUGGAGGUAUCAGAAGUGCGAAUGCUGACAUGAGUAACGAUAAAGGGGGUGAAAAACCCCCUCGCCAGAAGUCCAAGGUUUCCUACGCAACGUUAAUCGGCGUAGGGUUAGUCGGCCCCUAAGGCGAGGCAGAAAUGCGUAGUCGAUGGGAAACGGGUUAAUAUUCCCGUACUUCAUAUAACUGCGAUGGGAAGACGGAGUAGGUUAGCUCAGCAAGGCGAUGGUUGUCCUUGUUCAAGCGUGUAGAAAUGGUUCUUAGGAAAAUCCGGGAACCUCUAUUUCAAGGCGUGAUAACGAUCCCUCUUUUGGGAGAAGUGAGUAAUACCAUGCUUCCAGGAAAAUCCUCUAAGCUUCAGGUUAUAUGAAACCGUACCCCAAACCGACACAGGUGGACGAGAUGAGAAUUCUAAGGCGCUUGAGAGAACUCGGGUGAAGGAACUAGGCAAAAUGACACCGUAACUUCGGGAGAAGGUGUGCUCUUUGUAUGUGAAAUCACUCGCUGAUGGAGCGGAAGAGAGUUGAAAAUACUAGGUGGCUGCGACUGUUUAUUAAAAACACAGCACUCUGCAAACACGUAAGUGGACGUAUAGGGUGUGACGCCUGCCCGGUGCUUGAAGGUUAAUUGAUGAGGUUAGCGCUUGCGCGAAGCUUUUGAUCGAAGCCCAAGUAAACGGCGGCCGUAACUAUAACGGUCCUAAGGUAGCGAAAUUCCUUGUCGGGUAAGUUCCGACCUGCACGAAUGGCGUAACGACGGCCACACUGUCUCCACCCGAGACUCAGUGAAAUUGAAAUUGCUGUUAAGAUGCAGUAUACCCGCGGCCAGACGGAAAGACCCCGUGCACCUUUACUACAGCUUUACAUUGAACUCUGAUCCUACUUGUGUAGGAUAGGUGGGAGGCUUUGAAGUUCUAACGCUAGUUAGAGUGGAGCCGUCCUUGAAAUACCACCCUGGUAUGGUUGGGGUUCUAACCUAGGUCCGUAAUCCGGAUCGGGGACAAUGUAUGGUGGGUAGUUUGACUGGGGCGGUCUCCUCCUAAAGAGUAACGGAGGAGCGCAAAGGUAUCCUCAGCACGGUCGGACAUCGUGCAAUGAGCGCAAAGGUAAAAGGAUGCUUGACUGCGAGACAUACACGUCGAGCAGGUAGGAAACUAGGUCUUAGUGAUCCGGUGGUUCUGAGUGGAAGGACCAUCGCUCAACGGAUAAAAGGUACGCCGGGGAUAACAGGCUGAUACCCCCCAAGAGUUCACAUCGACGGGGGUGUUUGGCACCUCGAUGUCGGCUCAUCACAUCCUGGGGCUGAAGCAGGUCCCAAGGGUAUGGCUGUUCGCCAUUUAAAGUGGUACGCGAGCUGGGUUUAGAACGUCGUGAGACAGUUCGGUCCCUAUCUACCGUGGGCGUUGGAGACUUGAGGGUAGCUGUUCUUAGUACGAGAGGACCGGAACGGA
This 2137-nucleotide ribosomal RNA is filed under the name marine metagenome. RNAcentral describes it as "bacterial LSU rRNA". It matches the Rfam family "Bacterial large subunit ribosomal RNA", at positions 576 to 2701 of the family's 2925-position model. The record is from RNAcentral.